Long non-coding RNA from Hemicordylus capensis (graceful crag lizard), 4529 nucleotides. RefSeq lists it as uncharacterized. The record is from RefSeq and is a predicted model, not a curated record. The transcript has 3 exons. Lineage: Eukaryota; Metazoa; Chordata; Lepidosauria; Squamata; Cordylidae.
CUGGGAAGAGCAGAAGGUUUCAAGUUCCCUCCCUGGCUUCUCCAAGAUAGGGCUGAGAGAGAGUCCUGCCUGCAACCUUGCAGAAGCCACUGCCAGUCUGUGAAGACAUUACUGAGCUAGAUAGACCAAUGGUCUGACUCAGUAUAUGGCAGUUUCCUAUGUUCUAUGUUCCUAUGUCUUUUCUUCUGUCUACCUGGAGGAAGGUCAAGCUGCACAAAGAGAAUGCAGGAUCCUGCAAGGAAACAGCUGACUGUGAUGAGGGCAUAAUCAAGAAAGGCCUGGUCUCCACUUGGCCUAGCAGCCUUCCCUGAGCUGGGCCUGUGCCAAAGUAAAAGUGCCCAGGAGAAGGAGUGGGAAUCGGAAAAGAAUGAAGGCGAAGCAAGCAAUGGAGGAUCCUGAUAGCUGUGUCUCCUGAUCCAUACUACAGUCCUGUAAGUGUUGAAGAACCUCUUGAAUUUGUCUUCCCAGAAGAUGGAGAGGUAAGUCUGACUCCUACCACCUCCAGAGGCCAGACUGUCAGAGAGCUACAUAGGAAAAGACAGCAGUCCACAGAUAUCAAAGGUGUUGAAAAAGGAGCGUACUUCCUCUCUGUUGCUACUGAGCGCAGCACUGAACGCUGCCAAUACGAGAAUGCAGGUUUAGGCUAGGCAGUAGGAAUGCUUUCCCAAAUGGGAGAAGGGUUGCCAAGGUCACCUCAUGGAGUCCUGGGCUCCUCUUUGCUGAUGGUUUUCAGACAGAAGCCAGAUAACGAUGAUCUCCAAGGAGCCUUCCCACUCUAAAAUGCAAAGAUUCUGCUGUGAUCGUCACAUUGAGUCUGCAAGGGAUCUGCAAGUCCCGCCCCCCCGACACCCAGACUGAUUCUAUUUGCCCCCCAAGUUGACUGCAGUUAUGAGGAAGCAGAUUUAAGCUAAGCCUUGAGAAUAAUUUCCCACGGGAGAGAUGUCUGCAGAGGCACACACAACCAUCCCAAGUACAGAUAUAGAUAGUAUAGAGGUACACUCGCACAUAUACUUGUGAACACUUUUUUAAUGUCAAUAAUUGGUAAAGAGGGACCAGUGAUGCAUGGAUUUAUUUUUCUGAUUGAAUCCCUUCCUUUGAUGGGAGUUGCAGCCCAACAACAUCUGGGACCAAGUUUGAGAAUCUCUUGUCUGUUGGCUUCCCAGAGGCAUCCAGUGAGCCCCUAUGGGGAAACAGCAUGCUGGAUUAGAUAGGCCUUGGGUCUGAUCCAGCAGGGCUGUUAGGUUCUUAACAGUCAGGUAUGAUGGGAGUUGUAGUCCAACUUCUAUUUCCAGUCAUUCUCUUCAGCCUGACCUACUUUACAGGACUAUUGUGAGGAUAGAAGAAUUGCAUAUUUGGAGGUCCCGGCAGUAAGGGCAGAUAUAAAUUCCAGAAGCCAAGGGUUCUUAAAAUUGGGUCCCCAGAUGUUUUGGGACUAGAAUUCCCAUCAUCCUCAGCUACAAAACCUUGCAGGAGUAUUGCAUGUCUUGUUGAUCAAAAGGGAAUCAUGCAUGUUUGGAAUGGAAGGGUCCUUGUAAGAGCCCUGAAAAGUCAGAAGUUAGAUUACACAGAAGUUAUAUUAGAAGUUACAAAUAUUUUAAAGUUGAUGCUUAUGCUUUAUUUUAAAAAUAUUUAUAUAUUUCAUAUUGAAAAGACUCUUGGUUAAAACAACGCAGGGUUGUGUACAGCCCAUCGGAUCCCUCUACUACCUCUUGGUUUCUCCCAAGACGUGCUCAAGAGAGAUUUCCAUAGAGAUCUGCUUGCACAGACAUUACACUUUCAUCUUGCUUCUGAAUCCUUGCAAUAGCUGCCACUUGAAGCACUAGAGGGGUGGGGAGGGAUAGCUAUUCACAGCAAUUAGCCAAGAAGCUAGGGAUGACCCACCUGUAGCACAGCAGCUGCUGUUGGACUAGAACCCGCAUCAUCCCCAGCUGCUGUGUUGAGACUACAGAUGAUCACACCCAUCAAAACAGGUGGCUGGGGAUGGUAGAAGUUGUAGUAUGGUGGGAGUUGUAAUCCAACACAGUGAUAACAAAUAUAGUCCCCUGAUGCAAAUCCAUGGUGAAAAGCAUCGUGAAAGAAAGCAUCAGGGUUUGGGCAACAGCUUGUAUAAGAGGGCUGGAUAAAGAAAUCAACAUGAAAAUAGGAAGGUUGAAACUAAGGGCGAAUAAGGGAAGGCCAUUAAAGUAACACAUUGAUCUGAAUUUAAGAUGCUAUUACCCCAAAUGAUUUGAUGUUAAAACUCAGGGUCACGACGUAAAUUCAGAAUCCUGCUGUUUUAGGUAAGUAAAUGUUUAACAUAUAUUAAACUGCCACCCAUUCCUGGAGGGCCGGCUGCCCGUUGGUUCUUUCCUCCUGCCUCCCAAAUGACUUGAUGUUAAAAUUCAGGUUCAUGACAUAAAUUCAGAAUCCUGCUGUUUUAGGUAAGUAAAUGUUUUAACAUACAUUAAACUGCCACCCAUUCCUGGAGGGCCAUUCGCCCGUUUGUUCCCUCCUCUUGCCGGACCCCACAAGGCUUGGCGUUCCCUCCUCUUGCCGGACCCCACAAGGCUUGGCGUUCCCUCCUCUUGCCGGACCCCACAAGGCUUGGCGUUCCCUCCUCUUGCCGGACCCCACAAGGCUUGGCGUUCCCUCCUCUUGCCGGACCCCACAAGGCUUGGCGUUCCCUCCUCUUGCCGGACCCCACAAGGCUUGGCGUUCCCUCCUCUUGCCGGACCCCACAAGGCUUGGCGUUCCCUCCUCUUGCCGGACCCCACAAGGCUUGGCGUUCCCUCCUCUUGCCGGACCCCACAAGGCUUGGCGUUCCCUCCUCUUGCCGGACCCCACAAGGCUUGGCGUUCCCUCCUCUUGCCGGACCCCACAAGGCUUGGCGUUCCCUCCUCUUGCCGGACCCCACAAGGCUUGGCGUUCCCUCCUCUUGCCGGACCCCACAAGGCUUGGCGUUCCCUCCUCUUGCCGGACCCCACAAGGCUUGGCGUUCCCUCCUCUUGCCGGACCCCACAAGGCUUGGCGUUCCCUCCUCUUGCCGGACCCCAGCGGGUGGGGCAGCGGGUGGGGCUAUCUAUUCACAGCAUUUAGGCUCUGGCCGGGUGGAGUUGUGGUGUUAAGAGGGGGCAGGGCAGCAAACUGAUUCUCUACAGAGCAGACAUCCAAAAGCAAGAGAAAUGGCACAGAGGAAGCCGAGAGGCUAGAGAUUGCCCGACGCUUCCCAGCUCUUGUUGGAUUACAACUCCCAUCAUCCCCAGCUUCUCUUGUUCAGGACUACAGCUCCCAUCACCCCCUGCCAUAAAGCUUGGCUGGGGAUGAUAGAAGCUGUCCUCCAAUCACCCCCAGCCACCUUGUAUUGUGGCAUGAGUUGAUGGGAGUUCAACAACAGCUAGAAAACCUCAGGCUGGCCACACCUGCAAUAACAAAUACAGUCCCCUGAUGUAAAUCCAGAUCUUCUUAUGAAGAGAACCAUCACGUUUUGAGCAAUGGCUUGUUGGGGGGGCGGAUAAAUAAAUCAACAUGAAAACCAGGCAGUUGAAACAGAGGGUCGUGAAGAAAACACCACUUAAGUAGCUCACAUUUGUUUCCUUUUUCUUCUCUCUCCGCUAUACCAGCAAAGAAGAGCUUCCCUUUCAACAUCUAAGAAAGGAUCCCAUCCUGCUUCUGAUGCACUGUUAUCAACGCGAGUGCUGAGGGUUGCCUCGGCCGGGUAAAUAUGCAUUGACACAAUGACAAAUCUCUCCGGUGGCUGAGCGGAAUGGUGGGCCCUAGAGAAGGCAGGAAGAGGCUGAGGAGAGCAACCCCACAACAGAUGCCCAUUCCCUUUUUGACUAGGUUUGCAAAAGCCUCGUGUACACUCAAGGUCAUGAGGCUUUUGCAAAGAGGGGGCAUAGUUUCCCGGGAAACGACUUCACCCCAGGAGUGGAAUCCACACCUUAGUUUACAGAGCUCCCUUCAAACUAGUUACUGAAGUUGCAGCCCAGGUUUGCACCCGUUCCCUCUGUCCCAUCUCUUGAUUCCGAGUCUGGGUCCCCAACCCCCCUCCCUUCCCCUGGCUCUGCAUCCAGUGCGGGGUGCAAAUGUCACGUCCAGUCCUGGCAGGGUGCAAGAAACAAGGCUGGACCCCACAGUGAACCAUUCUGUAAGGCCAAGCAGGGGGGCAGAGGGUGCGCUAGUGAAAGCGAUCCCCGCCCUCUCUUGGCCUUCUGCAGGGACACCUCGGCAUCCACUCACCCCCCUCAAGUGACAGUGUGGGAUUAGCCGGUCGCCAUUUGGGGCCGAGUAGGAAUUUUCCCCAUCCACCCAGAUUGGCCUGGAGGUGGCUGGUUUUUUGCCUACUCUGCACUGUUGCACUGGACGGGAUUUCUGAUCUGGCGGAUGUUAGGAGUGGUGCCGCUAAAUAGUGUAGCCCCUUGGUCACCAUGGCAGGUCCGAGGAGGGGAUGUAGUGCCCCACCCCAUUGGUGGCAGGUGCGAUUUCCCCCAGCUACACUCUAGUUCUCUGCUAAAAUGAGUCAAUAAAGUGAUGGCCCUAGUUUCAACCCA